Molecule: ribosomal RNA, 255 nt
Filed under: uncultured bacterium
Lineage: Bacteria
Description: partial 16S ribosomal RNA
Rfam family: Bacterial small subunit ribosomal RNA
Source: RNAcentral
UACGUAGGGUGCAAGCGUUUAAUCGGAAUUACUGGGCGUAAAGCGUGCGCAGGCGGUGAUGUAAGACAGGUGUGAAAUCCCCGGGCUUAACCUGGGAACUGCAUUUGUGACUGCAUCGCUGGAGUGCGGCAGAGGGGGAUGGAAUUCCGCGUGUAGCAGUGAAAUGCGUAGAUAUGCGGAGGAACACCGAUGGCGAAGGCAAUCCCCUGGGCCUGCACUGACGCUCAUGCACAAAAAGCGUGGGGAGCAAACAGG